Long non-coding RNA from Bacillus rossius redtenbacheri, 536 nucleotides. RefSeq lists it as uncharacterized. The record is from RefSeq and is a predicted model, not a curated record. The transcript has 3 exons. Lineage: Eukaryota; Metazoa; Arthropoda; Insecta; Phasmatodea; Bacillidae.
ACGGCUUUUCUUAUGGGCGAGUUUGGCACAGGGAAAAUUUCUGCCGCUAGGUGCGCUGGCGUAGCUAAAGGGUAACAACACUGCCAUUUUAUGAGGGUGAACGUGAGAAAACCGCAUUGAAGUCAAUUAAAAUAGUCGGUAUGGUAUUUGGUUAUGUGCUUUUUGUUUGCAAGAAUUAUAUUGAACAAGUCUUCCGUAAAGAAUGUGUGAAUUUCACAACUUUAUGGCUUUUGGAUACGUAAAUAAAAACUACUGCGUUUUUGUUUCGCCGCGAGCAAUCGAAUCUGCAUAUGAAGUGUGCCGUCACCCGACCUCAAAGGCCCGGGGGGUACCUGACGGGCGCUACGGGCGUCGCGAUGCUGUUGUUGUCCAGAGGGGCGCCAGGCUAGCGGGCUGCUAGGCCGUUGAUGUUGGGUCGUGGGUACUCUGCCCCCGCGUGCUCCGCCAGGCUGUUGAUGGUGAAAGAAACAAUUCUGGCUGAUAUUUGGUGGAUAAUUCCCACAUGUCAAUAUACUCCAAGAAACCACGAAGUGUCU